UGUUUAUUCCCUCCGUUCCAUAAUUCUUGUCGAAAUAUCACAUGUAUCUAGACAUCUUUUAAGAAUAGAUACAUUCAUUUUUAGCCAAAUUUGAGACAUGAAUUAUAAAACGGAGGGAUUACUUU
Molecule: non-coding RNA, 125 nt
Organism: Brachypodium distachyon (stiff brome)
Lineage: Eukaryota; Viridiplantae; Streptophyta; Magnoliopsida; Poales; Poaceae
Source: Rfam